This 85-nucleotide transfer RNA is filed under the name Vulcanisaeta moutnovskia 768-28. RNAcentral describes it as "tRNA-Met". It matches the Rfam family "tRNA". Rfam says of the family: Transfer RNA (tRNA) molecules are approximately 80 nucleotides in length. Their secondary structure includes four short double-helical elements and three loops (D, anti-codon, and T loops). The record is from RNAcentral. Lineage: Archaea; Thermoproteati; Thermoproteota; Thermoprotei; Thermoproteales; Thermoproteaceae.
GGGCCCGUAGCUUAGCCAGGGCGUGUUGCCCCGCGUAUGGCUCAUAACCGGGAGGUCCCGGGUUCGAAUCCCGGCGGGCCCACCA